CACGUAGGGGGCGAGCGUUGUCCGGAUUUAUUGGGCGUAAAGAGCUCGUAGGCGGCUCGGUAAGUCAGGUGUGAAAACUCUAGGCUCAACCUAGAGACGCCACCUGAUACUGCCGUGGCUAGAGUCCGGUAGGGGAGCAUGGAAUUCCUGGUGUAGCGGUGAAAUGCGUAGAUAUCGGGAGGAACACCAGUGGCGAAGGCGGCUCACUGGUCCGGUACUGACGCUGAGGUGCGAAAGCGUGGGGAGCAAACAGG
This 254-nucleotide ribosomal RNA is filed under the name uncultured bacterium. RNAcentral describes it as "partial 16S ribosomal RNA". It matches the Rfam family "Bacterial small subunit ribosomal RNA", at positions 524 to 776 of the family's 1533-position model. The record is from RNAcentral.